GGUACCGUCAGGCCUAACGUGUAUUAUACGUUAGGAGGUUCUUCCCCUCUGACAGAGCUUUACGACCCAAGAGCCUUCAUCACUCACGCGGUAUUGCUGCGUCAGGCUUUCGCCCAUUGCGCAAAAUUCCCCC
Molecule: ribosomal RNA, 133 nt
Filed under: uncultured bacterium
Lineage: Bacteria
Description: partial 16S ribosomal RNA
Source: RNAcentral